Molecule: ribosomal RNA, 423 nt
Filed under: uncultured Glomeromycotina
Lineage: Eukaryota; Fungi; Glomeromycota
Description: SSU rRNA
Rfam family: Eukaryotic small subunit ribosomal RNA
Source: RNAcentral
CGGUACGUACUGGCAUUGUUGGUUUCUCCCUUCUGACGAACCAUGAUGUCAUUUAUUCGGUGUUGUGGGGAAUCAGGACUGUUACUUUGAAAAAAUUAGAGUGUUUAAAGCAGGCUCACGCUUGAAUACAUUAGCAUGGAAUAAUGAAAUAGGACGUUUGAUUCUAUUUUGUUGGUUUCUAGGAUCGACGUAAUGAUUAAUAGGGAUAGUUGGGGGCAUUAGUAUUCAAUUGUCAGAGGUGAAAUUCUUGGAUUUAUUGAAGACUAACUACUGCGAAAGCAUUUGCCAAGGAUGUUUUCAUUAAUCAAGAACGAAAGUUAGGGGAUCGAAGACGAUCAGAUACCGUCGUAGUCUUAACCAUAAACUAUGCCGACUAGGGAUCGGAUGAUGUUAAUUUUUUAAUGACUCAUUCGGCGCCUUACG